GAUGAACGCUGGCGGCGUGCUUAACACAUGCAAGUCGAACGAGAAAUGUAGACGGAAACCUUCGGGCGGAAGCCUUCAUUUCGAGUGGCGGACGGGUGAGUAACGCGUGGGUAACCUGCCUCAUACAGGGGGAUAACAGUUGGAAACGACUGUUAAUACCGCAUAAGACCACAGCAUCGCAUGAUGCGGGGGUAAAAACUCCGGUGGUAUGAGAUGGACCCGCGUUCGAUUAGCCAGUUGGCGGGGUAACGGCCCACCAAAGCGACGAUCGAUAGCCGAUCUGAGAGGAUGACCGGCCACAUUGGGACUGGGACACGGCCCAAACUCCUACGGGAGGCAGCAGUGGGGAAUAUUGCACAAUGGGGGAAACCCUGAUGCAGCGACGCCGCGUGAGUGAAGAAGUACUUCGGUAUGUAAAGCUCUAUCAGCAGGGAAGAAAAUGACGGUACCUGAGUAAGAAGCCCCGGCUAACUACGUG
RNAcentral lists this ribosomal RNA (478 nucleotides) under uncultured bacterium. Its description in RNAcentral is "partial 16S ribosomal RNA". It matches the Rfam family "Bacterial small subunit ribosomal RNA", at positions 28 to 507 of the family's 1533-position model. The record is from RNAcentral.